RNAcentral lists this ribosomal RNA (253 nucleotides) under uncultured bacterium. RNAcentral's name for it is "partial 16S ribosomal RNA". It matches the Rfam family "Bacterial small subunit ribosomal RNA", at positions 524 to 776 of the family's 1533-position model. The record is from RNAcentral.
UACGUAGGGACCAAGCGUUGCUCGGAAUCACUGGGCGUAAAGGGUGCGUAGGCGGGUCUUUAAGUCAGGGGUGAAAUCCUGGAGCUCAACUCCAGAACUGCCUUUGAUACUGAAGAUCUUGAGUUCGGGAGAGGUGAGUGGAACUGCGAGUGUAGAGGUGAAAUUCGUAGAUAUUCGCAAGAACACCAGUGGCGAAGGCGGCUCACUGGCCCGAUACUGACGCUGAGGCACGAAAGCGUGGGGAGCAAACAGG